This 1214-nucleotide long non-coding RNA is filed under the name Homo sapiens (human). RNAcentral's name for it is "MIR663A host gene". Lineage: Eukaryota; Metazoa; Chordata; Mammalia; Primates; Hominidae. The record is from RNAcentral.
GGGGGCGCGCCGGUCUCCCGGAGCGGGACCGGGUCGGAGGAUGGACGAGAAUCACGAGCGAUGUGGCCCUGGCGUUGAGUUUGUGGCUGUGGUCGCUUCGGGGCCCCGGUGGCGGGACCAGGGGCUCGUGAGAAAUACUAGGCUUUAGAAUUUCACCAUAUGAAUUUUGGGAGAGAGGAGCACAGUUCAGCCCAUAACUAACACACGACGGAAUGAAGUUGAUAAUAGUGAGACCUUGUUGGUACAAGACUAUGUAACAUAACCUGCGCUUCUCAACAAAGAAUUGCUUUUCUGACUUCUGCACUCAGUUCUUUCCUCCAGCUCACUUUAUUGUAAGAACCUUGGUGUCUGUAAUCGGCUCGGAACCCUUGCUGCUCUUUCACUGAAUAUCGCUGUCUGGAGGUUACUUGGUACACUGGUCGACAAAACCUUGAAAUGUUGAUGUUUAAGGGCUGUUGAUUGCUGGCAGCAAAGAAGUCCAACUGUGCUGGUACCCGAGAUAGCGUCUCCACAUUUUCUUCCAGGAUCAUCACCUUUGUUCUAAAUAGCUCCCACAUAGUGUGAACAGAAGUCAUAUGUUUUAGAUUUUCUGCCUUGGCACCCAGGAAACCAGUAUGAUUGAGUAAACAUAUUAAACUUCCUCUGCAUUUCCAGCCUGAACAGAUGUUGAGUACAAGCUGAUCCACCUACGUUCAACCUGAGAGAGUCCACAUCCACAGACUGUUUCAUUUCCCUUUUUCAAUUUACAUAGAAGCAUAGAUUCUUGCUGGCAUAUACAAAUGCGCCAUUUAAGGCAAUCAAAAAUGGUUCCACAUCUCAUCUGAUUUCCACAAUUGUUGCUGUAACGAUGGACUACUGAGGAGAGAGACAAUUUCUCUGGCACAUCUUCCCACAUUUUAGCAACAUGUUCAUGGAGAGCCAAUAUUCAGUAAUUACAGCCCAAUUCCUCACAAUUUCACAAUUCGCUAACAAUAUGCAUUUUCACAAUGUAAAGCUGAUUUUCCUUUAACCAAAUCAAACAUGAAAAGAUAGCUGCAUGCAAUGGGCAAUCUAGAUCAUUAGAAGAUUGAUGUAAAAUUAGAGGACACUGAGACUGGAAUAGAUUGCAAACUUCAGGGAGCUCAGAAAACUUGUAAACUCUACAUUUUGAGGAAAUAUGUUGUCGAUGCUUUUGCAACUCUAUGCAGUAACUUAACAAAUAAAGCCUUAAAGUA